Molecule: transfer RNA, 72 nt
Filed under: Camelus bactrianus (Bactrian camel)
Lineage: Eukaryota; Metazoa; Chordata; Mammalia; Artiodactyla; Camelidae
Also listed under: 2 other names
Rfam family: tRNA
About the family: Transfer RNA (tRNA) molecules are approximately 80 nucleotides in length.
Source: Rfam by way of RNAcentral
UGAGGUAGAGCUCAGUGGUAGAGUGAGUGCUUCACAUGCACAAGGUUCUGGGUACAAUCCCCAGUACCUCUA